UCAAACUGCAAGGCAGUGGAAAGGAAGGCUGAUGAAACACUAGACUGACCAGUGAUUACUCUCUGAGCUUCAUAAGGUUCCAUGUAGCCAUUGUUCUCUGGGGUCGAAGGAGCCUGGCGGUUUUCUGGCUGCAGAUCCUGGCGAGCGUCGAAGGGGUCUGAGUAGUCUGUGUCGCCAAUCGCUGGGGCUGAGGGGACCACCUAAAGUCAUGCGAGACAAUGUAAUUCUGAGACUGUUCCUGGCACUUAAGUAGAAGUGGGAGCAAACGCAGGGACAGCGUGUGAAUUGAAACGUAAUCUUUGUGG
Colossoma macropomum (tambaqui) is the source of this 305-nucleotide long non-coding RNA. RefSeq lists it as uncharacterized. The transcript has 2 exons. NCBI's taxonomy places the organism in Eukaryota, Metazoa, Chordata, Actinopteri, Characiformes, Serrasalmidae. The record is from RefSeq and is a predicted model, not a curated record.